This 119-nucleotide small RNA is filed under the name Caballeronia glathei. RNAcentral's name for it is "Burkholderia glathei Burkholderia sRNA Bp1_Cand684_SIPHT". It matches the Rfam family "Burkholderia sRNA Bp1_Cand684_SIPHT". The record is from Rfam by way of RNAcentral. Lineage: Bacteria; Pseudomonadati; Pseudomonadota; Betaproteobacteria; Burkholderiales; Burkholderiaceae.
AAGAAAGUGACUGCCGCCCCGCACAGGGGCGAAGCUAAUAGACCAAGAACAAAACAAGUUUCAUGAAGGCCCGAGCGCAUCAAACGGUUCGACAACAAAAUCCUAACCCCAAGCGCCAG